Molecule: transfer RNA, 71 nt
Filed under: Phaeomoniella chlamydospora
Lineage: Eukaryota; Fungi; Ascomycota; Eurotiomycetes; Phaeomoniellales; Phaeomoniellaceae
Rfam family: tRNA
About the family: Transfer RNA (tRNA) molecules are approximately 80 nucleotides in length. Their secondary structure includes four short double-helical elements and three loops (D, anti-codon, and T loops).
Source: Rfam by way of RNAcentral
GGUUCUUUUACUUAAGGGUAAAGUGCAUUUUUGAUAAGAAUGAUAUUCAAGUUCAAGUCUUGGAAGAAUCA